GGCGAGUGAACCGGGAAGAGCUCAAAUUUGAAAUCUGGCGUGCUCAGUGCGUCCGAGUUGUAAUCUAUAGAGUCGUUUUCCGUGCCGGACUGUGUCCAAGUCCCUUGGAACAGGGUAUCAAAGAGGGUGAUAAUCCCGUACUUGACACAAUGACCGGUGCUCUGUGAUACGUCUUCUACGAGUCGAGUUGUUUGGGAAUGCAGCUCAAAAUGGGUGGUGAGUUCCAUCUAAAGCUAAAUAUUGGCGAGAGACCGAUAGCGAACAAGUACCGUGAGGGAAAGAUGAAAAGCACUUUGGAAAGAGAGUUAAACAGUACGUGAAAUUGUUAAAAGGGAAACGAUUGAAGUCAGUCGUGACUGAGAGGCUCAGCCGGUUCUGCCGGUGUAUUCCCCUCAGUCGGGUCAACAUCAGUUUUGUUCGGUGGAUAAGGGCAGUUGGAAGGUGGCACCCUCGGGUGUGUUAUAGCCAGCUGUCGCAUACAUCGGAUGAGACUGAGGAAUGCAGCUCGCCUUUAUGGCCGGGGUUCGCCCACGUUCGAGCUUAGGAUGUUGACAUAAUGGCUUUAA
Molecule: ribosomal RNA, 566 nt
Filed under: Papiliotrema flavescens
Lineage: Eukaryota; Fungi; Basidiomycota; Tremellomycetes; Tremellales; Rhynchogastremaceae
Description: LSU rRNA
Rfam family: Eukaryotic large subunit ribosomal RNA
Source: RNAcentral